GAGUGUGUGUGUGGGUGUGUAAAUUGACAGGCAGGAGUAAACAGUGAUUGAUGCAGGAGUAAAUCAGGCCAAAGGCCGGUCCAUAAACCCAGGUUACGGAGGGACACAGUUCACUCACUGCAGAGCCCACACACGAGGCUGUGCCUCUCUCUCCUGCCUAACCAUCACUGGACCCCUCAGCAGACGCCCCCGGCGGGUCGGGAACCUAUCUUUCUUCAGACAGAUCCGGAAGACAUAGCUGACUACGAAACUACAAGACACUAGAAGAACCGUCCCACUCAUCUCCACCUACUCUGCAAUCAGCAAAGCAGCAAACAGGAACUCAAACAGAACCUGGCCAGGACCCUGCAAAACACAGACCUGCUGCAGGACUACAAAAUCAUCUCUGCCUACAGAAAAAACAAGAACCUCAAAGACCAUCUGGUCUCAGAGCCAGUGCCUAAAUCACCCUUAGAGAUGCCAUGGCAACCCAUGGCACAGGCAACAGUAUGCGGCACCGUGGCGAUGCCAAGGAUCACCACGGCAACGCCCCGCCUUCAGAGACCGAUCCUAAGAUGCACGGUGCCGUGGAGGCUGAGACUGAAGAAGAUGAUUUGAUUCAGUGGAAGAGACACAUAGAGGUGAGGAA
Long non-coding RNA from Anguilla rostrata (American eel), 628 nucleotides. RefSeq lists it as uncharacterized. The transcript has 4 exons. Lineage: Eukaryota; Metazoa; Chordata; Actinopteri; Anguilliformes; Anguillidae. The record is from RefSeq and is a predicted model, not a curated record.